Long non-coding RNA from Carassius carassius (crucian carp), 521 nucleotides. RefSeq lists it as uncharacterized. The transcript has 3 exons. Lineage: Eukaryota; Metazoa; Chordata; Actinopteri; Cypriniformes; Cyprinidae. The record is from RefSeq and is a predicted model, not a curated record.
CAGCUUUAGCACCUGAAACACGUUCAUUUACGGCCCUUAGUUUCAGGCCACUAAUUAAAGCUCAUCUCAGUGAGUUUUCCUUGUUUCCCUGCCGUCUCAUGAGAAAUCCUUGCAUGUCAAUGUAAAUUAGAGGCGGUCCCACAUUCUGUGCCAAACACCAGAAAGGAGAAGGUGCCAGGAACGUUUCCGGUAUUUGGCAACAAUUAAGCAACGCUGUGAAAAAAAAAAUACAAGAAGAGAGAAGAGAGGAUGAAAGUGUUUUACCUCCGUUCUGGGUGAUGUAUCGCACCCAGGGAAGGGCCUGAUAGCCGCUCUUCUCGAUGAUCUUCAGGUAACGCACCUGUCAAAACACACACACCACUGUCACACUGCAAUGCAUUGUGGGUGAAUUCAUUAAGCCAAACCUUCUAAAAGCCUACAACGCAAUGGGAAUAAAUAACAACCCAUUCAAACAAUGCAAAGCAAUAUUUAGUUUGUUCUUUAAGUAAAUUAUACUUUUCAAAUGCACAAUGCAGAGCAAA